RNAcentral lists this transfer RNA (63 nucleotides) under Neomegalotomus parvus. RNAcentral's name for it is "tRNA-Arg". Lineage: Eukaryota; Metazoa; Arthropoda; Insecta; Hemiptera; Alydidae. The record is from RNAcentral.
AAGUAAUGAAGUAAAAUUUACAUUUAGUUUCGACCUAAAAUUAGAGUUUAAUCUCCUUACUUA